GGCGGCCGGGUGAGUAACGCGUAGGAACCUACCUGGUAGCGGGGGACAACCUGGUGAAAACCAGGCUAAUACCGCAUACGCCCUACGGGGGAAAGCAGGGGAUCUUCGGACCUUGCACUAUCAGAUGGGCCUGCGUCGGAUUAGCUAGUUGGUGAGGUAAUGGCUCACCAAGGCGACGAUCCGUAGCUGGUUUGAGAGAAUGAUCAGCCACACUGGGACUGAGACACGGCCCAG
Molecule: ribosomal RNA, 234 nt
Filed under: uncultured bacterium
Lineage: Bacteria
Description: partial 16S ribosomal RNA
Rfam family: Bacterial small subunit ribosomal RNA
Source: RNAcentral